UACGGAGGGUGCAAGCGUUAUUCGGAUUUACUGGGCUUAAAGGGUGCGUAGGUGGACAGGAAAGUCAGUGGUGAAAUCUUCGAGCUUAACUCGGAAACUGCCAUUGAUACUAUUUGUCUUGAAUACUUUGGAGGUAAGCGGAAUAUGUCAUGUAGCGGUGAAAUGCUUAGAUAUGACGUAGAACACCGAUUGCGAAGGCAACUUACUGGACAGUUAUUGACGCUGAGGCACGGAAGCGUGGGGAUCAAACAGG
RNAcentral lists this ribosomal RNA (253 nucleotides) under uncultured bacterium. RNAcentral describes it as "partial 16S ribosomal RNA". It matches the Rfam family "Bacterial small subunit ribosomal RNA", at positions 524 to 776 of the family's 1533-position model. The record is from RNAcentral.